This is a long non-coding RNA of Prosopis cineraria, 706 nucleotides long. RefSeq lists it as uncharacterized. The record is from RefSeq and is a predicted model, not a curated record. NCBI's taxonomy places the organism in Eukaryota, Viridiplantae, Streptophyta, Magnoliopsida, Fabales, Fabaceae. The transcript has 4 exons.
CGACUUUGAGUUCUCUCUUCUCAUCACCGUCGAACUCCUUCUCUCCACCUUCGGCUUGCUCUUCUUCUCACCGGUGGCAUACAUCUGACUGGACUGGUGCGUUUCCGGCAACUGGAAGUGGGUCACCAGAAUUAGUUCUUCCUUCUCUGUCAUUUCGUGUUUCUCAAUCCAGGAUUGAGCGUCUGUGCGUGUACCAAAGCUUUCUAUCUUCUUCAACGUCGACCACAUGAAGAACCUGAACCGUUAUGGCUGCACUCAAGUUUGAGGGGGACAAAGUUCAAAACGUUGGAUGCUAACGGCAGUUCCAUUAGCUAUUGGGGCGUCAUAUUACACCCAAUUAGCAAGGUGCUUAUAGGAGAUGAUAUCCCUGUGCAAAAGCCAACGCACGUGGAUCGGAGCGAUGGUAUUUAUGGGUUCUGUAGAGAAGAUAGACCCUAAUUUUGAUGAGGAGGUCCCUUUUAGCUCCUCAACAAAUCCAGGGAAAGUCCAUGCUUUUCAAUCUGAGGACAACUCGUGUGCUUUCUUCCGUGAAAUUGGCCACCUCAUCCAUCUUCAAGCCAAUAGAGAUAAGACCUAUCAGGAGCAUAUACAUUGUUUUAAUUAAAGUGAAGAUCAACAUGAUUUGUCAGAAAUUUAACUGUCAUUAAUUCAGUGUUUUAAGACCUACCUGUUAUUCUCUAUAAAUUGUAUUGAAUAAUUCCAUUUU